UUCGCUUCUUGGCUCAUUGAGCUAAGAUCAAAGUUUCGGCUCUCAUCAACUUAACAUCUGAUACGCUCCCCAUCGGGGAUCCAGAAUAUUAAACUGGUUUUUGGAAGGUGGCGGAGUCUCUAGGACUUGCUCCGGCUCUGCCACAGAUCAACCCUAUAGUGCGCUGCCAUAGGGAACGUCCCACUUAAU
Neodiprion fabricii is the source of this 189-nucleotide small nuclear RNA. RefSeq annotates it as U2 spliceosomal RNA. Lineage: Eukaryota; Metazoa; Arthropoda; Insecta; Hymenoptera; Diprionidae. The record is from RefSeq and is a predicted model, not a curated record. The transcript has a single exon.